AGAGUUUGAUCCUGGCUCAGAACGAACGCUGGCGGCAUGCCUAACACAUGCAAGUCGAACGAGACCUUCGGGUCUAGUGGCGCACGGGUGCGUAACGCGUGGGAAUCUGCCCUGGGGUGCGGAAUAACUCGGAGAAAUCCGUGCUAAUACCGCAUAAUGUCUUCGGACCAAAGAUUUAUCGCCCUGGGAUGAGCCCGCGUAGGAUUAGCUAGUUGGUGGGGUAAAGGCCUACCAAGGCGACGAUCCUUAGCUGGUCUGAGAGGAUGAUCAGCCACACUGGGACUGAGACACGGCCCAGACUCCUACGGGAGGCAGCAGUGGGGAAUAUUGGACAAUGGGCGAAAGCCUGAUCCAGCAAUGCCGCGUGAGUGAUGAAGGCCCUAGGGUUGUAAAGCUCUUUUACCCGGGAUGAUAAUGACAGUACCGGGAGAAUAAGCUCCGGCUAACUCCGUG
Molecule: ribosomal RNA, 453 nt
Filed under: uncultured bacterium
Lineage: Bacteria
Description: bacterial SSU rRNA
Rfam family: Bacterial small subunit ribosomal RNA
Source: RNAcentral